Molecule: ribosomal RNA, 253 nt
Filed under: uncultured bacterium
Lineage: Bacteria
Description: partial 16S ribosomal RNA
Rfam family: Bacterial small subunit ribosomal RNA
Source: RNAcentral
UACGCAGGGUGCAAGCGUUGUCCGGAAUUAUUGGGCGUAAAGAGCUCGUAGGUGGCCUGUCGCGUCGGCUGUGAAAACUCGGGGCUCAACUCCGAGCUUGCAGUCGAUACGGGCAGGCUAGAGUUCGGCAGGGGAGACUGGAAUUCCUGGUGUAGCGGUGAAAUGCGCAGAUAUCAGGAGGAACACCGGUGGCGAAGGCGGGUCUCUGGGCCGAUACUGACACUGAGGAGCGAAAGCGUGGGGAGCGAACAGG